GGGCCUCUAGCUCAACUGGCAGAGCAACGGACUUUUAAUCCGUGGGUUGCGGGUUCGAUCCCCGCGGGGCCUA
RNAcentral lists this transfer RNA (73 nucleotides) under Nocardioidaceae bacterium. It matches the Rfam family "tRNA". Rfam says of the family: Transfer RNA (tRNA) molecules are approximately 80 nucleotides in length. Their secondary structure includes four short double-helical elements and three loops (D, anti-codon, and T loops). The record is from Rfam by way of RNAcentral. Lineage: Bacteria; Bacillati; Actinomycetota; Actinomycetes; Propionibacteriales; Nocardioidaceae.